RNAcentral lists this ribosomal RNA (37 nucleotides) under Phippsia algida subsp. concinna. RNAcentral describes it as "partial 18S ribosomal RNA". Lineage: Eukaryota; Viridiplantae; Streptophyta; Magnoliopsida; Poales; Poaceae. The record is from RNAcentral.
CAAGGUUUCCGUAGGUGAACCUGCGGAAGGMUCAUUG